UACGGGGGGUGCGAGCGUUGUCCGGAAUCACUGGGCGUAAAGGGCGCGUAGGUGGUUUGAUAAGGGUGUGGUGAAAGUCCGGGGCUCAACCCCGGAUCUGCCGUGCCGACUGUCAAACUCGAGGACUGUAGAGGCAGACGGAAUUCCGGGUGUGGCGGUGGAAUGCGUAGAGAUCCGGAGGAAGACCGGUGGCGAAGGCGGUCUGCUGGGCAGUUUCUGACACUGAGGCGCGACAGCGUGGGGAGCAAACAGG
RNAcentral lists this ribosomal RNA (253 nucleotides) under uncultured bacterium. RNAcentral's name for it is "partial 16S ribosomal RNA". It matches the Rfam family "Bacterial small subunit ribosomal RNA", at positions 524 to 776 of the family's 1533-position model. The record is from RNAcentral.